RNAcentral lists this ribosomal RNA (208 nucleotides) under uncultured bacterium. RNAcentral describes it as "partial 16S ribosomal RNA". It matches the Rfam family "Bacterial small subunit ribosomal RNA", at positions 568 to 775 of the family's 1533-position model. The record is from RNAcentral.
CACGUAGGCGGGUAUUUAAGUCAGGGGUGAAAUCCCGGAGCUCAACUCCGGAACUGCCUUUGAUACUGGGUACCUAGAGUAUGGAAGAGGUAAGUGGAAUUCCGAGUGUAGAGGUGAAAUUCGUAGAUAUUCGGAGGAACACCAGUGGCGAAGGCGGCUUACUGGUCCAUUACUGACGCUGAGGUGCGAAAGCGUGGGGAGCAAACAG